Long non-coding RNA from Bombina bombina (fire-bellied toad), 239 nucleotides. RefSeq lists it as uncharacterized. The transcript has 2 exons. The record is from RefSeq and is a predicted model, not a curated record. Lineage: Eukaryota; Metazoa; Chordata; Amphibia; Anura; Bombinatoridae.
GGGAUACAGCAUCUGUACUGAUUGUCUUAUACGGCAGUUAUUUGGGCACAACGUGUGCAUAUUAUAGAGAUUUUAAAGACAGUUUUAUUGUUCUAGGCAAAAGAGGAAUAGAGUGAUCGAUUUCAUUAGGUCACCCGGAGGCAGUACAGAGGAAGAUGCAGGGUAAACAAUGCACUGAUAGCUCUGCAGUGCAUCAGGAUAACAUCAGUAAAGAAAACACUAUGUGAGAAGAAAUAAAA